CCCUACGGGACGCAGCAGUGGGGAAUAUUGGGCAAUGGAGGCAACUCUGACCCAGCAACGCCGCGUGAGCGAUGAAGGUCUUCGGAUUGUAAAGCUCUUUAAGUGGGGACGAAGAAAGUGACUGUACCCACAGAAUAAGCCUCGGCUAACUACGUGCCAGCAGCCGCGGUAAUACGUAGGGGGCAAGCGUUAUCCGGAUUUACUGGGUGUAAAGGGGGCGCAGACGGCGAUGCAAGCCAGGAGUGAAAGCCCGGGGCCCAACCCCGGGACUGCUCUUGGAACUGCGUGGCUGGCGUGCAGGAGGG
Molecule: ribosomal RNA, 305 nt
Filed under: uncultured bacterium
Lineage: Bacteria
Description: bacterial SSU rRNA
Rfam family: Bacterial small subunit ribosomal RNA
Source: RNAcentral